This 374-nucleotide ribosomal RNA is filed under the name uncultured soil bacterium. RNAcentral describes it as "bacterial SSU rRNA". It matches the Rfam family "Bacterial small subunit ribosomal RNA", at positions 26 to 412 of the family's 1533-position model. The record is from RNAcentral.
AGAUUGAACGCUGGCGGCAUGCCUAACACAUGCAAGUCGAACGGGAGUAGCAAUACUCUAGUGGCGGACGGGUGAGGAAUACGUAGGAAUUUGCCCUUAAGUGGGGGAUAACCCGGGGAAACCCGGAUUAAUACCGCAUGACCUCGAAAGAGCAAAGUGGGGGAUCGCAAGACCUCACGCUUUUGGAGAAGCCUACGUCGGAUUAGCUAGUUGGUGAGGUAAUGGCUCACCAAGGCGACGAUCCGUAACUGGUCUGAGAGGAUGAUCAGUCACACCGGAACUGAGACACGGUCCGGACUCCUACGGGAGGCAGCAGUGGGGAAUAUUGGACAAUGGGCGCAAGCCUGAUCCAGCAAUGCCGCGUGUGUGAAGAA